This 84-nucleotide non-coding RNA is filed under the name Clostridium chauvoei. Its description in RNAcentral is "c-di-GMP-II sequence". It matches the Rfam family "Cyclic di-GMP-II riboswitch aptamer". RNAcentral also lists the same sequence under 1 other name. Lineage: Bacteria; Bacillati; Bacillota; Clostridia; Eubacteriales; Clostridiaceae. The record is from RNAcentral.
UAUUAAUUAAGAAUCUAAGAAUUACACUUUGUAUAUGGGCACUUGAAGUGUAAGGAGAUAAUAGUGCAACCGGCUUAUUUUAAG